AGGGGAAAAAUUAAUAAAAAAAAAUAAUAAAAAAAUUUAUAAGGUAUAUUUUAAUGGGGGUUAGAGUAUAUAUAUAGGAAAAAUUUUAAAAUUUAUAGUGAAAUAGUAUUGUAAGAGAAUUUUGAAAUAAGUAUAAAAAUUAUAAAAAAGUAAAUUUAAUUUAUUGUAUCUUGUGUAUCAGAGUUUAUUAAUAAAAUUUUAUAAAUAUAAAUUUCUCGAAUUUAAAAGAGUUAAUUAAUUAUAAAAGUUAAUGUAGAAUAAUUAUUUUUAAUAAUUAAUUAGAAAUGAAAUGUUAAUCGUUUUUAAAAAUAUCUAGUUUUUUUAGAAAAAAAUUUAAUUUUAAAUAUUAUAUUUUAAAAUUUUAUUAAUAAAAAUUUUAAUAAUUAAUAUUAAAUAUUUUAAGGGAUAAGCUUUAAAAUAAAUUUUUAUAAUUAAUAAUAAUAAAAAAAAAUUAAAAUUUUAAAAUUUAAAUUGUUAAAUAAAUUAUAAUUUUUUACAAAUAAUUUAAUUUUAAUUAAAAUUUAAUAUAAAAUUUAAAUUUUAUAAAAAAAUAUAUUUUAAUAAGAUAAAAUUAGAUAUAAUGAUAAAAUUAGUAUAUAAAAAUUAAAAAAAUAAUAAUUUAUUAAAAAUUAAUUAAAGGAAUUCGGCAAAACUAUAUAUUCACUUGUUUAUCAAAAACAUGUCUUUUUGGAAAUAAUUUAAAGUCUAAUCUGCCCACUGAUAAAUAUAUUAAAGGGCUGCAGUAUUUUGACUGUACAAAGGUAGCAUAAGCAUAAUCAUUAGUCUCUUAAUUGGUGACUUGUAUGAAAGAUUGGAUGAAAUAUAAACUGUCUCUAAUUAAUUUAUAAAAUUUAAUUUUUUAGUAAAUAAGCUAAAAUAAUUCUAAAAGACGAGAAGACCCUAUAGAGUUUUAUAAUUUAUUUGAUUAUUAUUAAUAUGUAAAUUUUAAAAUUAAAAUUAAAUAAAUUAUUUUGUUGGGGUGACAGAAAAAUUAAAUUAACUUUUUAAAUAAUUAACAUUAAUUUAUGAAUAAAUGAUCCAUUAAUAUUGAUUAAAAGAAAAAAUUACCUUAGGGAUAACAGCGUAAUUUUUUUUUUAGUUCAAAUAGGAAAAAAAGUUUGCGACCUCGAUGUUGGAUUAAGAUAAAAUUUAAAUGCAAAAGUUUAAAAUUUUGAUCUGUUCGAUCAUUAAAAUCUUACAUGAUCUGAGUUCAAACCGGUGUGAGCCAGGUUGGUUUCUAUCUUUCAAUAAAAAUAAUAUUUUA
RNAcentral lists this ribosomal RNA (1264 nucleotides) under Papilio machaon hippocrates. Its description in RNAcentral is "partial 16S ribosomal RNA". Lineage: Eukaryota; Metazoa; Arthropoda; Insecta; Lepidoptera; Papilionidae. The record is from RNAcentral.